Molecule: long non-coding RNA, 1580 nt
Organism: Phyllostomus discolor (pale spear-nosed bat)
Lineage: Eukaryota; Metazoa; Chordata; Mammalia; Chiroptera; Phyllostomidae
Exons: 2
Source: RefSeq, a predicted model, not a curated record
GCGCAGGCGCAUUGCACUCUCGUCAGUUGCUAGCGUUCUUUUCUUGUUUUGGUCCUUUAGCCUCCGAUUCGGUGAUAAUGCAGAGGGGAAGAGUGGGUUCCAUGUGAAUGAAGCAGGAAUUUAGAGGUGACUGUUUGGGCAUCAGGUCCUUGAGAAGCGCCUGUCAGGCCAGGGCCUUUGGGUGUCUUGGGGAUGGAGAAGAGAGAAAAUUUGCAAAGAGGAAUUACGAUAGAUAGUUCUUUAAGCCUCUGCACAAGAGAUUAUUCUAGCUGAUGACAAAUUUUCUUUGUGCCUUCAAGAGCUGUUUCACAGGUCACCUGCUCUGCGAAGCCUUCUCUCCCUAUUAUUGGGAAUCCGUUUCCAGCGCUGCCAUGGAAAUUCUUACAGACCUGUGACAAAGCAGCCUUGUGAGUGCUUUGUGCUUGUCUCCAAGAACAACAACAUGCGUAGAGCUGGAGUAAGUGGAAGCUUAUAUAUGUCGUAUGCCCAAUUUGGCCAAAGCUGGAGAAAACGUCGUUUCGCACUGUCACAAAGGGAUUGGAAUCCAUUUUCCGAAAGUUAUAAAAGACCUCGCGAAAAACGGAGGAGAGCUCUAAAAACUGAACCCCUUGCCGUGUUAUUGCUUUAUGCAAUGCCGUGACUCGGAUUCGAACCGAGGUUGCUGCGGCCACAACGCAGAGUACUAACCACUAUACGAUCACGGCGAGCUACCGGGGAUCCAAGGGCAACGUUCUUCUUCCGAGACCUUGUGUGUUAAAUGCCACGCCCCUCGACGGGUCACUGACUUGUCAUGGCUUGUUCCCGCCCAGUCCCAGAUUCGCCGUUUUCUGAGCCUAAGCUGGAGCGUUUGUCUCCUCGCUUUCCUGAUUUCAGUUUCCACUCGUUCCUGGGCCGGAUUCCUCCUCUUCACUUCCAGGGAGGCUGCGCUGGGUCUUCCCCUUCCCGGCGUCACAAAGGAAGUUGUGCGGGGGAGGCGGAACUGAUUUUCCUUCUUGUAGAACUUAAAAGACAGACCCAUUCCGAACCAGAAUCUAUUCAGACAGCGUGGGCGCCGGCCGGAGCACGGUGGGUGUAAGAGGGAUCUAGGGCCACCGUUUGGUCGACUUUGGGGUCUCACAUCCCUAUAGGCUACGUCGGCCUGGCCUCACUGGAGUCCUUUAAGUUUGCAAAGCACUCCCAUAUCUUUUCUUUUAUGGUCCCUCAGGGUGACCUGCGGGGAUUUCGGCUGACCCGGGAGUUCACGGUGCCCGUACUCUGCCUCAGGGUCAGUACGAGGGCCAGUGGAACCUGAUCGACACUGGUCAAUUUGGGAAGAACGGUGGCCUUAUACAAGAGGACAAUACUUGACAGAGGUUGGCUCACGGCGUCCCGGUAGCUCGCCGUGAUCGUAUAGUGGUUAGUACUCUGCGUUGUGGCCGCAGCAACCUCGGUUCGAAUCCGAGUCACGGCAUUGUGGGAACAAUGGCACGGCAAGGGCGCUCAUUUUAGGUUUGGGAAGCUGCAUUCUUCUUUAUGAUUGCUCCGUGCCUCAUACUUGACUUUAGGCCAGAGCAAGUCGAAAUUAUACUAUGGAAAAAGAU